AGAGCGAACGCUGGCGGCAGGCUUAACACAUGCAAGUCGGGCGGGCGUAGCAAUACGUCAGCGGCAGACGGGUGAGUAACGCGUGGGAACGUACCUUUUGGUUCGGAACAACCCAGGGAAACUUGGGCUAAUACCGGAUAAGCCCUUACGGGGAAAGAUUUAUCGCCGAAAGAUCGGCCCGCGUCUGAUUAGCUAGUUGGUGAGGUAAUGGCUCACCAAGGCGACGAUCAGUAGCUGGUCUGAGAGGAUGAUCAGCCACAUUGGGACUGAGACACGGCCCAAACUCCUACGGGAGGCAGCAGUGGGGAAUAUUGGACAAUGGGCGCAAGCCUGAUCCAGCCAUGCCGCGUGAGUGAUGAAGGCCCUAGGGUUGUAAAGCUCUUUUGUGCGGGAAGAUAAUGACGGUACCGCAAGAAUAAGCCCCGGCUAACUUCGUGCCAGCAGCCGC
Molecule: ribosomal RNA, 448 nt
Filed under: uncultured bacterium
Lineage: Bacteria
Description: SSU rRNA
Rfam family: Bacterial small subunit ribosomal RNA
Source: RNAcentral